Molecule: long non-coding RNA, 233 nt
Organism: Sorex araneus (European shrew)
Lineage: Eukaryota; Metazoa; Chordata; Mammalia; Eulipotyphla; Soricidae
Exons: 3
Source: RefSeq, a predicted model, not a curated record
AGACCUCAUUUAUUUUCUGAUUUUUGGAUCAAACCUGGUGGGCUCGGGAGAUCAAACCCGGGUCAGACAUGUGCAAGGGGUUACCCUGGCUCUGCACUCAGAAACUACUGGUGAUGCUUGAGGACCAUAUGGAAUACUAUGGAUCAAAACUGGGUCAGCUGCAAGGAGGAACCUGAAGAGCAUCCUAGAGGGUCCCUGAGGGUGAAAGAGUCUGCAGCCUCCGCAAGUGCCUG